CCGCCCCUAAGGUCGGAGUUGCUGGCCUCCUAUGUUCCUAACGGUCCUCAUCCGCGAGGGUGGGGAAUCAACCGCUAGGAUCGUUUACUUUGAGGAAAUUAGAGUGUUCAAAGCAGGCGUAACUCGCCUCCGAAUACGUUAGCAUGGGAUAAUGGAAUACGACUUCGGUCUUGUUUCGUUGGUUUCGCUUGGCUGAAGUAAUGAUUGAUAGGGACAGUUGGGGGCAUUAGUAUUUAGUUGUCAGAGGUGAAAUUCUAGGAUUUACUAAAGACUGACCAAUGCGAAAGCAUUUGCCAAGGAUGUUUUCAUUAAUCAAGAACGAAAGUAGGGGGAUCGAAGACGAUCAGAUACCGUC
RNAcentral lists this ribosomal RNA (355 nucleotides) under Vermamoeba vermiformis. Its description in RNAcentral is "SSU rRNA". It matches the Rfam family "Eukaryotic small subunit ribosomal RNA", at positions 668 to 1019 of the family's 1831-position model. Lineage: Eukaryota; Tubulinea; Echinamoebida; Vermamoebidae. The record is from RNAcentral.